This 2707-nucleotide long non-coding RNA is filed under the name Mus musculus (house mouse). RNAcentral describes it as "long non-coding RNA chr1:128247517-128250224". Lineage: Eukaryota; Metazoa; Chordata; Mammalia; Rodentia; Muridae. The record is from RNAcentral.
ACACCCUAGUCUAAAAUACUAAAUUUGAUUAACAAAUAUCGGAAAGCUGUAGAAGUAAUUGAAGUCUUAUACUUUAUAGAGCUUUAUGCAUAUAUAUGUAUAUGUAUGUAUGUAUGUAUGUAUAUAUAUAUAUAUUCCUCAGUUAACCUUAUUGGGGUGACCUAGUAUUAUGUAUGUUUAGCAUAUCAGCAGCUAUUGAACAUUUGCAGAAAUACUGUUAGGGAUGGACAGUGGAGUCUGUCUGCUAUCCUCUUUCAAAAUGCAGAUAGCUUUUCUAGAGCUUUAGCUAGGUCAUCCUAACACAAAGUAGGAGAGGUAUUACUCUAGAAAUACAGAGACACUGAGCUCAUAGAGCAGCAGCACUCAACAGGUAGCGCCUAACAGGGAGGGAGCGCCAAUCUUUUGACAUCAGACAUGACAUUGCUGUCUACAGAGUUCACACCUUACAACUUUAAAAUCAAACUACACACACCCACCACUCUCACCAAAUCACCCCCCCACACACACACACACCACAGAAUCCUCAAGAUAUUUUAAAUAAGUUCACAGGAUUUCAUAUUGUAUAAUAGUCAUAGCUAUUCACUCAAGGCCACAGAUUAUAUAUGAGAACUUUAAAUUUUCUUUGAUAGGAGAUCCCAUCAAUAAUAUACCAACCCAUCAAUAAUAUACCAACCUUAAAAAAUUCAACUUAACCGCCAGGUGUGGUGGUGCACGCCUUUAAUCCCAGCACUCAGGAGGCAGAGGCAGGCGGAUUUCUGAGUUCGAGGCCAGCCUGGUCUACAAAGUGAGUUCCAGGACAGCCAGGACUACACAGAGAAACCCUGUCUCGAAAAACAAAAACAAAACAAAAAAAAAAUUCAACUUAAAAAAUGAAAAAGGUAUUUGUAAUUAGGAGUGGUUUCAAGGGUAUUCAAACAAGUAUUUCAGGCCCAAAACAUAGGAGAGUAAAGGGCACACACACACACACACACACACACACACACACACAAACACACACACUACAUAUAGGGGUUAGAGAAAUGCCUCAGAAGUUAAGAGCAUUUACUGUACUUGCAAAGGACCUGAAUUCUGCAUGCAUAUGGCAGGCAGCUCACAACCAUCUACUAUUUCCGGUCUAGGGAUCUAAUGCCUCUUGUGAAGACCCCACAGCCUCCUAUGCAUAUGUGAUACACACACACACACACACACAGGCCCACACACACAUAAAAUAUUUUUUAAAGAUAGUUGUUUCAGAGAAAAUGUGUAGGCAAGUCUUUAUUUCAUGAAGUCAUUUUUUUUUCCUUAAAGAUUUAUUUAUAUGAAUACACUGUAGCUGUCUUCAGACAUACCUAAAGAGGGCAUCAGAUCCCAUUGCAGAUGGUUGUGAGCCACCAUGUGGUUGCUGGGAAUUGAACUCAGGACCUCUGGAAGAGUAGUCAAUGUUCUUAACCACUGAGCCAUCUCUCCAGCCCCCAUGGAAUUGUUUCCUUUUAGUUUUUGAGAGGCUAGGUCUUGCUACUGCCCAGACUGCCCUCAAGCUCCUGGGCUCAGCCUCCCUCCCAAGUAUCUUCAGGCAUAGGCUACUGCUUCUGUAUUUUUUAAAUAUAGCUUUUAUGAAUUAAAUAAUCCGUUUAGUAAGUAAAUAAAAAUUAAAUAAUUAUAGCAUUGUAUUAGAAACUAGUGAUACUAGCCAAAUUAACAAGAAUCUCCAGUUGUAUCUGUUUAAAUUUAAAGAUGUAAAGACAGUUGUGCAAUAGUACAAAAAUCUAAGAGGAACCUGAAGCAAAGAUGUCUGUCUAGGGCUGGAGAGAUGGCUCAGAGGUUAAGAAUGCUGAUUGCUCUUUUGGAGGUCCUGAAUUCCCAGCAACCACAUGGUGGCUCUCAACCAUCUGUGAUGGGAUCCAAUGUUCUCUUCUGAUCAUUCUGAAGAUGGUGAUGGUAUACUCACUGCAUAAAAUCAGUAAAUCUUUAAAAUAAAAAAAGAUGUCUGUCAAGUCAGUGGUAUUUGCUGAAAAUUGUUUGUGUCUGAUACUGUUGACUGCUCUCUUUGUUUAACAUAGACCACAAAGUUUAAGGUUUAAGCAAUUGAGAUUUCUUUAGGUGGUUGAUAUUUUGAUUAAAAAUAAAGACACUAAAGUUACUGACAACGGCAAAUGGUAAUUCUAGCGGAACUUAGUAAGUAUUAAGCUUCUCACUGAGACUGGCAUUCAGCUACUGCUGCCAUCUCAAGGCUGAGUGACAAACAAACUGGCAGUGGGAAUGUGACAUUAGGACCUUAACCUGCCUAGCAUAGGUAAGGGAAUGAGAGCGCCAACCUCACAAAAGCCAUAGUCUCUUUCUUAGGAUUAACUCAAGGCUAAGGAUGUUUAUUGCCCUCGUUUGUUAUUCUCCCAAAGGGUUUCUGGCUAAAUGUCACCAUUGUGCAUUCUGUCAGAUAAGCUGUGGUGUGGGUGGCCCUCCUUAGCUUUUCAGUUUUAUUUGUCUCGUGUUCUCCAUUGUUUAUUAUUUUCCUGACCACACAGACCUUUCCCUGCACGUGUAUUCUUUCUUCGUGGUGAGCUUUUCUGUAUUUAGUGUGGCUCAGUUCUCUUUGUUUUCUACCUUAAAUGUCACCUCAGAAACCAAUGUCAUGGUACAUGUCUUUAAUCCCUGCACUUGGGAGAUCAAGACCAGCCUCGUCUACAUAGUAAGUUGGGACAUCCAAUGCUACAGAGAGAGACCCUGUCUC